GUCAGAAUGGCCGAGUGGUCUAAGGCGCCAGACUCAAUUUCUGGUCUCCAGCUGUAGGCGUGGGUUCCAAUCCCACUUCUGACA
Molecule: transfer RNA, 84 nt
Filed under: Danio rerio (zebrafish)
Lineage: Eukaryota; Metazoa; Chordata; Actinopteri; Cypriniformes; Danionidae
Description: tRNA-Leu (CAA) (tRNA-Leu-CAA-73-1)
Rfam family: tRNA
About the family: Transfer RNA (tRNA) molecules are approximately 80 nucleotides in length. Their secondary structure includes four short double-helical elements and three loops (D, anti-codon, and T loops).
Source: RNAcentral